CCCUCCCCGUGGGCGAGAUCACCUGUCCCUCCUCCGCCGCCGCCUCCUCGGGUACCCUUUCGCCCCCCUCCUGCUCCCCCUCCUCCGCCACCUCCCCCAAGCCCUCCCCUUCCCCGCCUCCUCCCACCCCUCGGUGUAUAUAGUAAAGGCCGGGCGCCGCACGCAGACACACUCGUCUGGACACAGGCGCACACACGCUCACGCACGACCGGCAGCAGCGGCGGCGACAGCAGCUCGGUGACAGCGGCGACGGCAGCUCCCACCGCUGCGCACCCCCUUCAGGCGGCCGGCGGCGAGGCCAGACCGGAGAGUUCCCGCACCCGCGACCACCCCUUGGCUUCCUGGAGGCGGCGGCCGCGAUUGCAAGGUAGCGGCCGCGACGCCCCCGUGCGGGCCGGGGUACCCCCCCGCCCCGUGCCCUCCCCGCGCGGACCUGCCACCGGGACGCAGGGGGCGCGCCGGGCUGGGCGCGCCUGGCGGGGCCCGGCGCCCGGGGAGGGGCCUGCUCCCGGAGGCAGGACGGCGCCCGGAGGCCGGGGCCAGCGGGGAGGGCCGGGCGGGGGCGGGGACGCGAGCCGAGGCCGCCACCCGCGCGGCGUCCCCGGGCCCCGCUCCUGCUCCCGGCGCCGCGCACUGGCCGGCGGGGCUGGGGCCGGCCGGGGAGGCGGCGCCGGGCGGCGGGGCGGGGGCCCCGAAGUGGGUUUCGGGCCGCCACCGGCGCUGGCACCGGGCGCAGAGGGCGGCGCGCGGCGGACUCCGCGCCCGGGCAUCGCACCGGGCCGCCUUCGGCUCUGCCGCUCUGCCCUGGCCCGGAAAACCCGGCGCCUUCCAGGCCCUUCGAAAGAUGGAUUCUGUUGACGUAUCUGGCGGCCCUGGCGAGCAGGGUGGAAAGUUGGGUUUUGCCAGAUCUCACUGGGCUCGUCUUUGUGACGCUCGGCCAGCCCCGCAUCCUUCCGGAGCUGGCUCCACUCCCCCUGGCCUCUCCCGACCCCGCCGGCUCUGUGAAUGCCAAGGAAAUGGACUCUUUCAGUGGAGACUUACGCAGGAACCAAGCAAAGAAUGGUCCCGAACCCAUGUUCAUAAAUCGAUUGAAGUCGGGAAGAACAGCCACGGGAGUCAGUGCUUUCAGUGCAGAAAAGUUUGCACGUGGAGGCUCCGAACUGGGCUCUGAGCACUUGGGCGGCUCCUGCCGUUCUGGUUUUCAGCCAGGGGGGCUCGAGUUGCUCGGAGGCUGCAAGUCUGCCUGCCCCCAGCACCCGCUGUGUACAGAGCCGUCCGUCCCGGGAAGCACGGUGUCGGGUAAGGUGAUGCUAGCGGCUGUUCUGAACAAGUCGAAUGUGUAUUGCGGCUCAAGUGCAGCAGAAGUUUGCUCCUUCCUCACAUAA
Molecule: long non-coding RNA, 1385 nt
Filed under: Delphinapterus leucas (beluga whale)
Lineage: Eukaryota; Metazoa; Chordata; Mammalia; Artiodactyla; Monodontidae
Description: lncRNA (ENSDLEG00000020568.1)
Source: RNAcentral